GCAAGGAAGCAAGGAGGAAGCAGGCAGCAGACCCUCUGCCCAGACCAGACCAUCCAGAACAGCCAUUGCUAGAUUUGAAGAUGUCAGCUUGCAGGAAGGGAAGGGCAGGAGAGGAUCUCUACCAACAUCAGAGAGACCCCCUACACUGAUAGAAGGACAGUGGGGUGUCUUCACCCGAAAUCGCUGAAGAUUCUGCAGUUGUUUAUGCAUGCUUUCAUCAAGCUGCUUGAAAUCCCAGUUAACAGAAGACAGUGUGCAGGUACAAGCUCAUGGGCUUAUUCGUCUUAGGACUGGUGCCAAGUUGAACACUCAAUCCAGCACUGCUAGAUGCAGUGGGGUGCCUGUGAGCUUGGAUGGCCCAAGCUAAGCAACUACCAUUCUCUUUAGGGCCAGAAUCAGCUGACCAGACCACUGAGGACAGCAGCAUGGGUGGAUCCUCUGGAUUCAUCCACUAGGAAGACUGUAAGGAGGCCAUUGCCAUAUAUUGAGAGUGUUUUGGACAUGACUCCACUUGGGGUUGUGUUGCACUGGAACUAGCAGUCAGGAGGACAAAGGGACUUUUUCCAUGAGAGGAUUUGGUCCAAGUCUCACUCCCUUAUCCAGACUUCCUCCCCACUGCUCACAGAUAUAUCACCAGCAGAAUCUAUUCACCUUUGGUUCACCUUUUGGCCAGCUGUCCAGAAGAAACAAGAUGCAACUAUUCUAGCCUCAUUCUCUUCAUGUAGAUAAGGGGGGCGGAGGGAGAGUUGGGCAGCUAAGAAACCUCCCAGUGUAGCAUUUCUUUCCUAGCCCAAAUUCCAACAUUCUGAGACCUUGCAAGAAGGCCUUUUCCUGCUUGGUUUAAUAUUGCAUUAAAUAUUCAGACAAAGGCUGCUUACAUAAACAGUGUUUGCUCCAGGCUGAGCUUCUAAUGUAAAAUUAAACUACAAUAAAUGACUGCAAAAUG
Molecule: long non-coding RNA, 946 nt
Organism: Hemicordylus capensis (graceful crag lizard)
Lineage: Eukaryota; Metazoa; Chordata; Lepidosauria; Squamata; Cordylidae
Exons: 2
Source: RefSeq, a predicted model, not a curated record